This 77-nucleotide transfer RNA is filed under the name Candidatus Peregrinibacteria bacterium. RNAcentral's name for it is "tRNA-Pro". It matches the Rfam family "tRNA". From Rfam's summary of the family: Transfer RNA (tRNA) molecules are approximately 80 nucleotides in length. Lineage: Bacteria; Candidatus Peregrinibacteriota. The record is from RNAcentral. RNAcentral also lists the same sequence under 2 other names.
CGGGGUAUAGCAAAGUUGGCUAUUGCGCUCGGUUUGGGACCGAGAGGCCGCAGGUUCGAGUCCUGCUACCCCGACCA